RNAcentral lists this ribosomal RNA (221 nucleotides) under Symbiodinium sp. Mp. RNAcentral describes it as "partial Eukaryotic large subunit ribosomal RNA". It matches the Rfam family "Eukaryotic large subunit ribosomal RNA", at positions 2608 to 2828 of the family's 3401-position model. The record is from RNAcentral. Lineage: Eukaryota; Dinophyceae; Suessiales; Symbiodiniaceae.
UCAGGUGGGGAGUUUGGCUGGGGCGGCACAUCUGUUAGAAGAGAACACAGGUGUCCUAAGGAGAGCUCCGUGAGAACAGAAAUCUCACUUAGCGCAAAAGGGUAAAAGCUCUCUUGAUUUUGAUUUUCAGUGUGAAUACAAACUGUGAAAGCAUGGCCUAUCGAUCCUUUAGUGUUUUAGAAUUUUAAGCUAGAGGUGUCAGAAAAGUUACCACAGGGAUA